Non-coding RNA from Macaca mulatta (Rhesus monkey), 2956 nucleotides. NCBI's taxonomy places the organism in Eukaryota, Metazoa, Chordata, Mammalia, Primates, Cercopithecidae. The record is from RefSeq and is a predicted model, not a curated record.
UUUAAGGGCUUGAAUGUCUGCAACUGUCAUGUGUACACUUAAAGUAUGGGAUGUGUCAACACGACCCUUUCUAGCGCGCUCGUUUCUUGUCUGAAUCCCCGCAUUUCGCCAAUUUGCUAGGAGCACAGAACGCCCUCAGCGAAAGGGGCUGCUGAUUCCGAAUUUGCUCAGGUAUCCCGCAGCUUGUUGGCCUCCGGGUUCCCCGUGCCGUGCCCCCGGGAGGCUCUCCACAGACACCGGUUGCGCCGAAUUAUACGAGAUUGAACGGGUUUUUGCGUGUGUGUGCAACACGACAAUUUGCCAGCUGUUCCACAGUGCGCUCCGCCGGGCGAUGGAAACUUCGCUGUGUUAACGCACAGCAGAUUGGAGGGCACGACCCGGAAGGAAGGAAGAGGCGAGCAGGGAAAGGCGGCGACCCUAGGCCCGCCGGCCAGUCGUUUCCAGCGUCAGUUCAGCACUGAGCGGGGGCUCCCGGAGCUGCGGCCGGCCGGGGUUUCGGCCAGAGCCGCGGAGGCCGCCCGGCGGUGGGUGCGACUCUUCUCCUCUCCAGGGAGCGGCGGCUGAAGACCCGACCCACCCGCAGCGCUGCCGUCGGCCCCGCUGGUCCCCCGCGCGGGCACAAAAACAGGCGGCCGUUCUCCAGCUCUCUUUUCCCAAACCUGAACCGCCACGCCGAAGGUGCUUCCUAAGCCGCGGCUACCCGGGCUUCACGCCCGCCGGGCAGGCGUGAACCAGCCCCAGGACAACCGUUUUCCUCCUCACUCUAUGUGAAUCGUUGUCCCUCUGACUCGAAUGUCACCUGAUUUUCCCAGCCGUGACCUCCAGCGACGGGACUCCGAGGAACUGACUCCAGCGUCUCAGUUCUCUCCGCCUCUGCGCCCGUGUUGGCUGAAACGGUUUGCAGCCGUCGGGGCAGAGUGAGUGGGAUGUGGCAACCACCAGCCCCAGCCCGGAGAAGAAAAGAGGACGAAAUUAACGCGAAAGGACACCGGAAGUCAGAAAGCGACUCCCUCAGAUCCUCGGAAUCCGAGGCAAACCCUAACACUAGUUUGAAAGCGGAUCGUAUCCACUUUCGUAUCGUAUCCUGGAAUCAUCCAGGAUAAAUUCGGGUUGGGAAACAUACUCCCCAGAGCGUAAGAAAACUGACUUACAACAAUACAAAACAGACAAGCACAAAGUGCAAAGGAGUUUGCAAAAGUUGUUGCUCUCAGAAAAAAAAAAAGUGUGUGUGUAUAUAUAUGUAUACAUACACACAUCCUAUAAUAUGAUUUCAAUUUGCAAAAAUACUCUCUAAGAGGAUGUAUUUUUAAAACCAGUGGCAGCUUCGGAGGGAGUGGGGAUUCGCUGCGAAGGGGAGAAGGAAGCCUUUUUGAGGUGACCUAAAUGUUUUUGUAUCUUGAUUAUGGUGGCUGUUAUUGGAGGGGGGCCGCAUCCAAGUGUCAAGACUCAUCGAACUGUACCCUUUUGUUCAAGGUACAUUAAACCUCAAUAAAGUGGAUUUUAAACCUAAAUAAGCCGGUAACAGCUUUGCCUGGGUGGCUAGGGGAGAGGCCUGGGACACUUUACAUUGAUCUCCCUCUUAACACGCGUUCAUUUUGGUUUGGUUUUGUUUUUAUGAUGUGUUAUUUAUUCAAAAAUAUAUCAUUAGCAGAGUGACUGAUGUAAAUGUUAAACAAUUGUUAAGGAAACAAAAGCGGGAACAAGAGACACUUGUGCAUCCUGUCAGAGGGAGAAGAAUAAGCACUCGCUGUCCAAGCUCAUAAAAUAUUUUGGAAAUGAAUGUCGUUCAGUUUUGGGUUUUUUUGUUUCUGUUUUUUUGUUUUUUGUUUUGUUUUGUUUGUUUGUUUGUUUUUUGCUUUUUUGCUCAUGUGUUCAACAUCAAGGAGAAAUGAGGACCCAAAACUUAUCCACUGGUUACGUUGGUGUGUGUGGCUGUCAUCUCCUUGGGACUGGCUACUGAAGGCCACAGGAGUGGGAGGACCAAAGGCUCCCUGGAUGUUGUGUCCUGGCCUGUGAGCUGCACACAGUCCCGCUUGCAGCAAAGAUGGGGUGGCCGGCUGCGCUGUGAGGGAAGGCCAGGCCCCGACAGGAACCUCAGAUCUCACCAGGGGAUGAGAGUGGUAUCCCCCUGCAGCGGGAGUCCGUGCUGGCCUGAGAGGCUCCAGGCUGUGCCACCCCUGGGCAGACCCCAAACUUCAGGGAGCUGCCAGGAUCAGUGGCUACAAGGGUCCCUGCCGAGUUUGGAGAAACAAGACAACUACCCACGUGCCUGUCCACCUCUGCCUACUCUCCAGGUGAAUUCAGGUAAGAACCUGGGAUGUCUCCCGGGAUAGUGCAGCUGGAAAGGAAUGCUGGGUACACCUCUUACCACCAAGGAGAGGAGACAGACACAAAACUGGGGACCAGACAGGAAAAGAGACAUGCUCAAGGCUGAAGGCUGUUUGUCCUGCUAGUUUGGUCAAAGUGCGGCGUGGAGAGGCGGCCAGGUUGGGUCAGCGGCCCUUGGGAAAAAAGAUGUGUCCCUGCUGGGGGCCAGAGAAUCAAGUUUCCUUCCACCCGACCCCCAACCACUGCAACUUCUAUUUAGAUCUAUUUAGAGGGAUUUUUUUUUUUUCUCACUCGGAAACAGUGAGGACUGACAAGAAAAGUUGCGAAUCGCUCUCGGACUUUUCUCUAAGGGGACCAGCAUGGGUCCCCCCAAUUUCUAUUUUGCACGCAUUUGUCCAUUUUUGCCCCACCUCCUCUCUCCUGCAACACCAAGACCUUUUUGGAAGCCAAGAGAAGUCAUUACCCGAUUCACACAGGGCAUAGAGAGUGUAAAAGUCACUAAUUUUGUUCAAAUAAGGAGGGUAUUUUUCCUUCCCUUUUUGUAACACCUGACCCACAGGACUGACAGCUCUAGGAAGCCCCCUUACCCGAAAGUAGGAAAUAAAUCCUUGCCGCCUUGAUUUGUAAA